Long non-coding RNA from Schistocerca piceifrons (Central American locust), 284 nucleotides. RefSeq lists it as uncharacterized. Lineage: Eukaryota; Metazoa; Arthropoda; Insecta; Orthoptera; Acrididae. The record is from RefSeq and is a predicted model, not a curated record. The transcript has 4 exons.
CACUGUCGCUGUGUCGGCCGAGCACGCGCGCGCACGUGCCGCGUGUCAACACGGGAGCCCGCGCUCUCACCAGAAUCUGAGCUGUGUUCAUCGUACAACAGCAUCAGCCGUUGGAUUCAUUUUCGCAGAAAACUGUAGUGCUCUGUGAUCAAGAGGGAACACGGGAGUCCGCCAGGAGCGGCGGCUGAUGCCCCACCGCCGCCGUGGACGACGCGAGCGCGGACCAGGCCACUGCGGCGGCGGCGGCUGCCGUGCCGCCUGCAGCAGCAGCAGCAGCAGCAGGG